CCUACGGGUGGCUGCAGUGGGGAAUCUUCCGCAAUGGACGAAAGUCUGACGGAGCAACGCCGCGUGAGUGAUGAAGGUCUUCGGAUUGUAAAGCUCUGUUAAUCGGGACGAAAGCGUUCUGUGUGAAUAAUGCAGGACAGUGACGGUACCGGAAUAGAAAGCCACGGCUAACUACGUGCCAGCAGCCGCGGUAAUACGUAGGUGGCUAGCGUUGUCCGGAAUUAUUGGGCGUGGAGCGCCCGCAGGCGGAUAAAAGUUCGGGGCUCAACCCCGUGAUGGGAUGGAAACUACAGUUCUAGAGUAUCGGAGAGGAAAGUGGAAUUCCGAGUGUAGCGGUGAAAUGCGUAGAUAUUAGGAAGAACACCAGUGGCGAAGGCGACUUUCUGGACGAACACUGACGCUGAGGCGCGAAAGCCAGGGGAGCGAACGGGAUUAGAUACCCCUGUAGUC
This 450-nucleotide ribosomal RNA is filed under the name uncultured bacterium. Its description in RNAcentral is "partial 16S ribosomal RNA". It matches the Rfam family "Bacterial small subunit ribosomal RNA", at positions 338 to 795 of the family's 1533-position model. The record is from RNAcentral.